AAUGAGAAACAAAAUUCUUUCCAUAAUGUUCUUUUCUUCUUUUAGCUUCUGCAAUUCUUCACAUGGUAUUAGAGCUUUGCUCGAAGAUUGGGAUCUUGAUUGUUGAUCUUCUUUAAAUCUUCUUAAGGAUUACAAUUAGAAUUACAGGUUGUUGAUAUAUUGACAAAGGCAUUACAACCAAAGCAAUAUCAUUGGUAGCUAAUUAAGAUGAAUAUUCAUGAUAUUCAUGCUCCAUCAUGAAUAUUCAUCUCCAGGGGGAGUAUUAAUUUGGAAUAAUCACUAUGAUUUUAUUAGUUGUAGUUCAUAGUGCAAUGAGAAGAAGAAAUCUGUUUGAGAAGAAAGACAUGUGAGGAUCACAUGAUCAACUCUCAUUAAAGAAUACGUAUAUAGUAACUUAUGUGUAUUUACUUUUUACUGUUACUGUUUACUUUAGUAAAUUGGUAGUUAGGCCUUAACUAAUUAACUUUUUAGUUAAAGUUUUUUUCUUUCCUUAUGACAGAGACCUUUUCUCCUUUUUUCUUUGUAUAUAAGUACGAUUGCUCUGUAAUUUUUUUUUGAAAUGCGAUUGCUCUGUAAUUUUGGGAUUGCUGAGAAAUAAAAUUCUUUCCACAA
Theobroma cacao (cacao) is the source of this 612-nucleotide non-coding RNA. Lineage: Eukaryota; Viridiplantae; Streptophyta; Magnoliopsida; Malvales; Malvaceae. The record is from RefSeq and is a predicted model, not a curated record.